CCUACGGGUGGCAGCAGUGAGGAAUAUUGGUCAAUGGACGAGAGUCUGAACCAGCCAAGUAGCGUGAAGGAUGACUGCCCUAUGGGUUGUAAACUUCUUUUAUAUGGGAAUAAAAUGUUCCACGUGUGGGAUUUUGUAUGUACCAUAUGAAUAAGGAUCGGCUAACUCCGUGCCAGCAGCCGCGGUAAUACGGAGGAUGCGAGCGUUAUCCGGAUUUAUUGGGUUUAAAGGGUGCGUAGGCGGAAGGUUAAGUCAGCGGUCAAAUGUCGGUGCUCAACACCGGCCGGCCGUUGAAACUUGUCUUCUUGAGUGCGCGAGCAGUCUGCGGAAUGCGUGGUGUAGCGGU
RNAcentral lists this ribosomal RNA (346 nucleotides) under uncultured bacterium. RNAcentral describes it as "partial 16S ribosomal RNA". It matches the Rfam family "Bacterial small subunit ribosomal RNA", at positions 338 to 682 of the family's 1533-position model. The record is from RNAcentral.